CAGCACCUCAAGUGGUCAGGAUGAUUAUUGGGCCUAAAGCAUCCGUAGCCGGCUCUGUAAGUUUUCGGUUAAAUCUGUAUGCUCAACAUACAGGCUGCCGGGAAUACUGCAGAGCUAGGGAGUGGGAGAGGUAGACGGUACUCGGUAGGAAGGGGUAAAAUCCUUUGAUCUAUUGAUGACCACCUGUGGCGAAGGCGGUCUACCAGAACACGUCCGACGGUGAGGGAUGAAAGCUGGGGGAGCAAACCGGAUUAGGUACCCGAGUAGUCC
Molecule: ribosomal RNA, 270 nt
Filed under: uncultured archaeon
Lineage: Archaea
Description: partial 16S ribosomal RNA
Rfam family: Archaeal small subunit ribosomal RNA
Source: RNAcentral